UUGAACGCUGGCGGCAGGCCUAACACAUGCAAGUCGAGCGGAUGAGAAGAGCUUGCUCUUCGAUUCAGCGGCGGACGGGUGAGUAAUGCCUAGGAAUCUGCCUGGUAGUGGGGGACAACGUUUCGAAAGGAACGCUAAUACCGCAUACGUCCUACGGGAGAAAGCAGGGGACCUUCGGGCCUUGCGCUAUCAGAUGAGCCUAGGUCGGAUUAGCUAGUUGGUGAGGUAAUGGCUCACCAAGGCUACGAUCCGUAACUGGUCUGAGAGGAUGAUCAGUCACACUGGAACUGAGACACGGUCCAGACUCCUACGGGAGGCAGCAGUGGGGAAUAUUGGACAAUGGGCGAAAGCCUGAUCCAGCCAUGCCGCGUGUGUGAAGAAGGUCUUCGGAUUGUAAAGCACUUUAAGUUGGGAGGAAGGGCAGUAAGCUAAUACCUUGCUGUUUUGACGUUACCGACAGAAUAAGCACCGGCUAACUCUGU
This 482-nucleotide ribosomal RNA is filed under the name uncultured bacterium. RNAcentral describes it as "bacterial SSU rRNA". It matches the Rfam family "Bacterial small subunit ribosomal RNA", at positions 30 to 506 of the family's 1533-position model. The record is from RNAcentral.